Molecule: ribosomal RNA, 500 nt
Filed under: uncultured bacterium
Lineage: Bacteria
Description: partial 16S ribosomal RNA
Rfam family: Bacterial small subunit ribosomal RNA
Source: RNAcentral
AUUGAACGCUGGCGGCAUGCCUUACACAUGCAAGUCGAACGGCAGCACGGGAGCAAUCCUGGUGGCGAGUGGCGAACGGGUGAGUAAAGUAUCGGAACGUGCCCAGUCGUGGGGGAUAACGUAGCGAAAGUUACGCUAAUACCGCAUACGAUCCAUGGAUGAAAGCGGGGGAUCGCAAGACCUCGCGCGAUUGGAGCUGCCGAUAUCAGAUUAGGUAGUUGGUGGGGUAAAGGCUCACCAAGCCGACGAUCUGUAGCUGGUCUGAGAGGACGACCAGCCACACUGGGACUGAGACACGGCCCAGACUCCUACGGGAGGCAGCAGUGGGGAAUUUUGGACAAUGGGCGAAAGCCUGAUCCAGCCAUGCCGCGUGCAGGAUGAAGGCCUUCGGGUUGUAAACUGCUUUUGUACGGAACGAAAAGGUUUGGCCUAAUAAGCUGAGCUCAUGACGGUACCGUAAGAAUAAGCACCGGCUAACUACGUGCCAGCAGCCGCGGUAA